UGGGGAAUAUUGGACAAUGGGCGGAAGCCUGAUCCAGCAACGCCGCGUGAGGGAUGACGGCCUUCGGGUUGUAAACCUCUUUCAGUACCGACGAAGCGGAAGUGACGGUAGGUACAGAAGAAGCACCGGCCAACUACGUGCCAGCAGCCGCGGUAAUACGUAGGGUGCGAGCGUUGUCCGGAAUUAUUGGGCGUAAAGGGCUCGUAGGCGGUUUGUCGCGUCGGGAGUGAAAACACUGGGCUUAACUCAGUGCUUGCUUCCGAUACGGGCAGACUAGAGGCAUGCAGGGGAGAACGGAAUUCCUGGUGUAGCGGUGAAAUGCGCAGAUAUCAGGAGGAACACCGGUGGCGAAGGCGGUUCUCUGGGCAUGCCCUGACGCUGAGGAGCGAAAGUGUGGGGAGCGAACAGGAUUAGGUACCCUGGUAGUCCACACCGUAAACGUUGGGCGCUAGGUGUGGGGCCUAUUCCAUGGGUUCCGUGCCGCAGCUAACGCAUUAAGCGCCCCGCCUGGGGAGUACGGCCGCAA
This 526-nucleotide ribosomal RNA is filed under the name uncultured bacterium. Its description in RNAcentral is "partial 16S ribosomal RNA". It matches the Rfam family "Bacterial small subunit ribosomal RNA", at positions 355 to 891 of the family's 1533-position model. The record is from RNAcentral.